UCAAGCGCGAAAAGGGCGUUUGGUGAAUGCCUUGGCAGUAAGAGGCGAUGAAAGACGUGAUACUCUGCGAUAAGCCAUGGGGAGCUGAGAAUAAGCUUUGAUCCAUGGAUUUCUGAAUGGGGCAACCCACCUGAUUGUUUAUUGUUGUCCUACCGCUUUGCUACUUGAGGACGUAAGUUCGCAAGGUGCAGACGGUGGGUUCAUCAGUAAGCAGAACCAGGUAUUUAUAGACUGAAUACAUAGGUUUAUAAAAGCAAACCCGGGGAACUGAAACAUCUAAGUACCCGGAGGAAAGGAAAUCAAUAUGAUACUCCCCUAGUAGCGGCGAGCGAACGGGGACCAGCCGAGCCAUGAGUGUGGUUAGAAUGCGUUGGAAUGCGCAACCAAAGUGGGUGAUAGUCCCGUAUAAGAAGCAUGAUUGGACGUAUUAAGUAGGGCGGAACACGUGAAAUUCUGUCUGAAGAUCGGAGGACCACCUUCGAAGGCUAAGUACUCCUUACUGACCGAUAGUGAACCAGUACCGUGAGGGAAAGGUGAAAAGCACCCCGACGAGGGGAGUGAAACAGUACCUGAAACCGAACGCCUACAAACAGUUGGAGGGACCUUGCGUCCUGACAGCGUACCUUUUGUAUAAUGGGUCAUCGACUUGGUCUCACGAGCAAGCUUAAGCCGUUAGGUGUAGGCGUAGCGAAAGCGAGUCUUAAUAGGGCGUUGAGUUUGUGGGAUCAGACCCGAAACCGAGUGAUCUAGGCAUGGCCAGGUUGAAGAUAAGGUAACACUUAUUGGAGGACCGAACCCACAUCCGUUGAAAAGGAUCGGGAUGAGCUGUGCCUAGGGGUGAAAGGCCAAUCAAACUCGGAGAUAGCUGGUUCUCUGCGAAAUCUAUUUAGGUAGAGCGUCAUCCGAAUACCCUCGGGGGUAGAGCACUGGAUGGGUAAUGGGGCCCCACAGGCUUACUGAUCCUAACCAAACUCCGAAUACCGAGGAGUACUAGAUGGCAGACACACGGCGAAUGCUAACGUCCGUCGUGAAGAGGGAAACAACCCUGACCUACAGCUAAGGCCCCUAAUUCAUGGCUAAGUGGGAAAGCAGGUGAGACGACCAAAACAACCAGGAGGUUGGCUUAGAAGCAGCCAUCCUUUAAAGAUAGCGUAACAGCUCACUGGUCUAAAUAAGUUGUCUUGCGGCGAAGAUGUAACGGGGCUCAAGCCAUGAGCCGAAGCUUAGGAUGCAUUUAUUGCAUGGUAGCAGAGCGUAGUGUGACAUAGUUCCAUGUGUCCUUAUCGUCCCUCGGGACGGGUUGGACACAAGGAGCUUUCUGUGAAGCUGGCGCGUGAGCGAUCCGGUGGAGAGAUCACUAGUGAGAAUGAUGACAUGAGUAGCGACAAAGAGUGUGAGAGACACUCUCGCCGAAAAUCCAAGGGUUCCUGCUUAAAGCUAAUCUGAGCAGGGUAAGCCGACCCCUAAGGCGAGGCCGAAAGGCGUAGUCGAUGGGAACCAGGUUAAUAUUCCUGGGCCAGAUGGAAGUGACGGAUCUCGAGGGUAGUUCAUCCUUAUCGGAUUGAAUGGGCUGCUUAGAGGUCCCUGGAAAUAGCUCCAUCGCUAGAUCGUACCCUAAACCGACACAGGUGGACAGGUAGAGAAUACCAAGGCGCUUGAGAGAACUAUGUUGAAGGAACUCGGCAAAAUACCUCCGUAAGUUCGCGAGAAGGAGGCCCGGUUUCUAGGCAACUAGAGGCUGGGGGCACAAACCAGGGGGUGGCGACUGUUUAUUAAAAACACAGGGCUCUGCGAAGUCGCAAGACGACGUAUAGGGUCUGACGCCUGCCCGGUGCCUGAAGGUUAAAAGGAGGGGUGAGAGCUCUGAAUUGAAGCCCAGGUAAACGGCGGCCGUAACUAUAACGGUCCUAAGGUAGCGAAAUUCCUUGUCGGG
Molecule: ribosomal RNA, 1933 nt
Filed under: seawater metagenome
Description: bacterial LSU rRNA
Rfam family: Bacterial large subunit ribosomal RNA
Source: RNAcentral